UACAUGGGGUGCAAACGUUGCUCGGAAUUAUUGGGCGUAAAGCGCGCGUAGGCGGUUACUCAAGUCGGAUGUGAAAGCCCUCGGCUUAACUGAGGAAGUGCACCCGAAACUGAGUAGCUAGAGUACUAAAGAGGGUCGCGGAAUUCCCGGUGUAGAGGUGAAAUGCGUAGAUAUCUGGAGGAACACCGGUGGCGAAGGCGGCAUCCUGGACCGGUAUUGACGCUGAGGAGCGAAAGCCAGGGGAGCAAACGGG
RNAcentral lists this ribosomal RNA (253 nucleotides) under uncultured bacterium. Its description in RNAcentral is "partial 16S ribosomal RNA". It matches the Rfam family "Bacterial small subunit ribosomal RNA", at positions 524 to 776 of the family's 1533-position model. The record is from RNAcentral.